This 257-nucleotide ribosomal RNA is filed under the name uncultured Planctomycetota bacterium. Its description in RNAcentral is "uncultured planctomycete partial 16S ribosomal RNA". It matches the Rfam family "Bacterial small subunit ribosomal RNA", at positions 927 to 1181 of the family's 1533-position model. The record is from RNAcentral. Lineage: Bacteria; Pseudomonadati; Planctomycetota.
AAGCGGUGGAGCAUGUGGCUUAAUUCGAGGCUACGCGAAGAACCUUAUCCCGGGCUUGACAUGCUAGGGGACCCGGCGGAAACGUCGGGGUGCCCUCGGGAGCCCUAGCACAGGUGCUGCAUGGCUGUCGUCAGCUCGUGCCGUGAGGUGUUGGGUUAAGUCCCGUAACGAGCGAAACCCCUGUCCCUAGUUGCCAGCGGGUCAUGCCGGGCACUCUAGGGAGACCGCCGGCGUCAAGCCGGAGGAAGGCGGGGACG